AAAAGUUGAACUGAACUGUGACGGAACCGUGAAACACUUUGUGCUCACCAAUGGAAAUAUUAUCAGUGGCGGUGUUUAUGUUAUUGCCACUCCUGUUGAUAUCUUGAAGCUUCUUUUGCCUCAAGAGUGGAGGGAAAUUUCAUACUUUAAGAAGCUGGACAAAUUAGUGGGAGUUCCGGUGAUUAAUGUUCAUAUAUGGUUUGACAGGAAACUGAAGAACAAUUAUGAUCAUCUUCUUUCCAGCAGGUCAUGCUCAAAUUAUUCCAUCAAGAUUUAUUUUUUUUUUAAAAAAUAGCAAU
This is a non-coding RNA of Phoenix dactylifera (date palm), 299 nucleotides long. Lineage: Eukaryota; Viridiplantae; Streptophyta; Magnoliopsida; Arecales; Arecaceae. The record is from RefSeq and is a predicted model, not a curated record.